RNAcentral lists this ribosomal RNA (496 nucleotides) under uncultured bacterium. Its description in RNAcentral is "partial 16S ribosomal RNA". It matches the Rfam family "Bacterial small subunit ribosomal RNA", at positions 28 to 507 of the family's 1533-position model. The record is from RNAcentral.
GAUGAACGCUGGCGGCGUGCCUAAUACAUGCAAGUCGAGCGAACGGACGAGAAGCUUGCUUCUCUGAUGUUAGCGGCGGACGGGUGAGUAACACGUGGAUAGCCUACCUAUAAGACUGGGAUAACUUCGGGAAACCGGAGCUAAUACCGGAUAAUAUUUUGAACCGCAUGGUUCAAAAGUGAAAGACGGUCUUGCUGUCACUUAUAGAUGGAUCCGCGCUGCAUUAGCUAGUUGGUAAGGUAACGGCUUACCAAGGCAACGAUGCAUAGCCGACCUGAGAGGUGAUCGGCCACACUGGAACUGAGACACGGUCCAGACUCCUACGGGAGGCAGCAGUAGGGAAUCUUCCGCAAUGGGCGAAAGCCUGACGGAGCAACGCCGCGUGAGUGAUGAAGGUCUUCGGAUCGUAAAACUCUGUUAUUAGGGAAGAACAUAUGUGUAAGUAACUGUGCACAUCUUGACGGUACCUAAUCAGAAAGCCACGGCUAACUACGUG